AGGAUAAUAGUUAAAUUAACAUUUAAUUUGCAUUUAAAAAAUACUGAUUAUCAGUUUAUCUUA
This 63-nucleotide transfer RNA is filed under the name Coccinellidae sp. 1 EF-2015. RNAcentral describes it as "tRNA-Ala". The record is from RNAcentral. Lineage: Eukaryota; Metazoa; Arthropoda; Insecta; Coleoptera; Coccinellidae.